Molecule: ribosomal RNA, 388 nt
Filed under: uncultured bacterium
Lineage: Bacteria
Description: bacterial SSU rRNA
Rfam family: Bacterial small subunit ribosomal RNA
Source: RNAcentral
AUUGAACGCUGGCGGCAUGCCUUACACAUGCAAGUCGAACGGCAGCACGGGAGCAAUCCUGGUGGCGAGUGGCGAACGGGUGAGUAAUAUAUCGGAACGUGCCCAGUCGUGGGGAUAACGUAGCGAAAGCUACGCUAAUACCGCAUACGAUCUAUGGAUGAAAGCGGGGGAUCGCAAGACCUCGCGCGAUUGGAGCGGCCGAUAUCAGGAUUAGGUAGUUGGUGAGGUAAAGGCUCACCAAGCCGACGAUCUGUAGCUGGUCUGAGAGGACGACCAGCCACACUGGGACUGAGACACGGCCCAGACUCCUACGGGAGCAGCAGUGGGGAAUUUUGGACAAUGGGCGCAAGCCUGAUCCAGCAAUGCCGCGUGCAGGAUGAAGGCCUUC